RNAcentral lists this transfer RNA (76 nucleotides) under Salmonella enterica. Its description in RNAcentral is "tRNA-Val". It matches the Rfam family "tRNA". Rfam says of the family: Transfer RNA (tRNA) molecules are approximately 80 nucleotides in length. Their secondary structure includes four short double-helical elements and three loops (D, anti-codon, and T loops). RNAcentral also lists the same sequence under 1 other name. Lineage: Bacteria; Pseudomonadati; Pseudomonadota; Gammaproteobacteria; Enterobacterales; Enterobacteriaceae. The record is from RNAcentral.
GGCCAUUUAGCUCAGUGGUUAGAGCUGGUGGUUCACAACCGCUUUGUCGCUGAUUCAAAUCCAGCAAUGUUUACCA